Molecule: ribosomal RNA, 231 nt
Filed under: uncultured bacterium
Lineage: Bacteria
Description: partial 16S ribosomal RNA
Rfam family: Bacterial small subunit ribosomal RNA
Source: RNAcentral
CGGGUGAGUAACACGUGAGGAACCUACCCUUUAGUGGGGAAUAACCCGCAGAAAUGCGGGCUAAUACCGCAUAUGGUUGGAUGUGGACAUCCACGACCAACUAAAGAUUUAUCGCUAGAGGACGGCCUCGCGGCCUAUUAGCUAGUUGGUGGGGUAACGGCCUACCAAGGCGAUGAUGGGUAGCUGGUCUGAGAGGACGACCAGCCACACUGGGACUGAGACACGGCCCAG